CUAAUCCAUCUGCCUCUUGUACGUUCAUAGAAGAGAGAUUACUACUCACACUGCUCACUAUAUCACUGUCGUCGUUGGUCACUAAUCCAUUGACCCUUUCCAUAGCGUUAAUAUCUGGGAGACUAGGAAUGAUUCCAGCUUCGGAAAACAUCGUUGCUGCUAGAAAUUCUUCGAUUUGUACAGAUUCAUAUGUGUCUUCGCCAUUCAUUUCCGCCCUUGUCAGAGUGAAAACUGAAUGCGAAACUUCAAAUCGUGUCAAAGUAGGAAAUUUCGUGUCGAAAAACGACACCACUAACAACACUGGCUGUAGCAAGGAGCGAGUCCCUGGUACUGGACCACAUCCCAUACGUAGAACAACCCAUAAACACAACCUUACAUACUGUCGAGGACAGUGAUAUUUCUUUGCGCCCACCAGCUGAAAAGGGUAGGAACUGAACGGUAAUUCAUUAAUGGGUUUACAUAUUUUCAAACUCUACUGUAAUUUAUUUCGCUUUCCUUUUUGUGGUUGUUUGUUUGUUAGUUUGUUAAAACUAAUACACUUCUUCGCUUUCUUUCAUGUCUUCCCCACUUUCACUCUUCACUUUCCUUAUUACUUCGCGGUGUCUUACAAGCCUACACACGCUGCUGUUACUGCUUGGUUGCGCGCAGGCGGGUUUAUUAUGCUUGUCCAUUCCAGGUUAUUUCAAUGUCAUUCUAGGUUUUUUUUUUUGUUUUCUUUCCUUACUGCUAUAUUGUUUUCACACUAUUCUCUAGAACGUGUGUUACUCGUGUGUUUGAUGUAUCUCUGUCUCUGUGUCUCUCUCUUUCUUUUACUCUCUCUUUCUCUGUCACUUUCUCUCUUUCUCUCUCGCUCUCUCUCCCUCUCUUUGUGUAAGUUUAUAAUGAAUUUAUAUUUUGUUGUGUUGUUACUAUCUCUUAUACUUACUUUUUCAAGUUGUAGCCUUUUUUGUGUAUUUAAUGCUCCUCUUCUGCCUUGUGGUACGUUCCCCAUAUCUCGCCAUCUCUACUUCUGCUUCUGCAUCUAUGUGAACUGGAACGCUUUAAAUUGUAUUUCGUUUGACCGGGGGCUGGGGAUGUCUUGCUCUGCUUCCGCAGAAGAGAAGUGGGGUUGGGCGGUAAAGUAAACAAAACGCGGCCUUCCAUUAUUCUUACCACACUCUACUAAUAUCGCUUCUUUCAAUUUGUUUUAAACUGCUUCUCUUUCUUGCCUUCUCCAUCUUCUCCUCCCUCUUAUCUUUUUACCCUACUCUAGGCCUUGGCGGGCUCCCGGGCUUCUUUCGCCACCUGGAUUGGCGUGUUGGUGGACCGCAGCGCAACCGAGACGAGAGAAGCAGAUGGCAAAAACAACUAAAACAUAUUAAAAAAAAAAAAA
Long non-coding RNA from Anopheles arabiensis, 1372 nucleotides. RefSeq lists it as uncharacterized. The transcript is spliced from 2 exons. The record is from RefSeq and is a predicted model, not a curated record. Lineage: Eukaryota; Metazoa; Arthropoda; Insecta; Diptera; Culicidae.